GGACUGUGGUGUUACGUGUUUAUGCUGGUGUUAUUGGACUGUGGUGUUACGUGUUUAUGCUGGUGUUAUUGGACUGUGGUGUUACGUGUUUAUGCUGGUGUUAUUGGACUGUGGUGUUACAUGUUUAUGCUGGUGUUAUUGGACUGUGGUGUUACAUGUUUAUGCUGGUGUUAUUGGACUGUGGUGUUACGUGUUUAUGCUGGUGUUAUUGGACUGUGGUGUUAUAUGUUUAUGCUGGUGUUAUUGGACUGUGGUGUUGUAUGUUUAUGCUGGUGUUAUUGGACUGUGUUACCACCUGUUUAUGCUGGUGUUAUUGGACUGUGUUACAUGUUUAUGCUUGUGUUAUUGGACUGUGUUGUUGUUGUUAUGUGUUAAGGCUGGUGUUAUUGGACUGUGUUGUUGUUAUGUGUUAAGGCUGGUGUUAUUGGACUGUGUUGUUGUUAUGUGUUAAGGCUGGUGUUAUUGUACUGUGUUGUUAUGUGUUAAGGCUGGUGUUAUUGGACUGUGUUGUUGUUAUGUGUUAAGGCUGGUGUUAUUCGACUGUGUUGUUGUUAUGGUUUUAAGGCUGGUGUUAUUGGACUGUGUUGUUGUUAUGCAAGGAACACUGAACCAUGCAUGAGAGCACCAGCUGUUCCGGACAACUAUGUGAUAUCACUCUCUGUAGGCGAGGUGAUUUAAGACUUUUCAACCUACCCCGACCCGGUCUGUACCAACUUGUUUCAAGCAGACCACCAUAGUCCCUGUACCCAAGAACACCAAAGCCUAAAUGACUAUCACCCCGCAGCACUCACAUCUAUAGCCAUGAAAUGCUUUGAAAGCCUGGUCACCCUGGACCCACUGCAGUUUCCAUACCACCCCAACAGAUCCACAGAUGAGUAAAUUUCUAUUGCACUCCAAAAUGCCCUCACCCACCUGGAAAAAAGUAAUACCUAUGUAAGAAUUCUGUUCAUUGACUGCACCUCAGCAUUCAACAACAUAGUCCCCUGCAAGCACAGCACCAAGCUCAGGACCCUGGGACUGAACACCUCCCUCUGAAACUGGAUCCUGGACUUACUGACGGGCCACCCCUAGGCAGCAAAAACACAUCCGCCACGCUGACCGUCAACACGGGGGCCCUUCCUGUACUCCCUGUUCACUCAUGACUGCAUGUCCAUGCACUACUCCAACACCAUCAUCAACUUUGCUGACAAGGCAUUGGUAGUAGGACUGAUCACAGAGGAUGAUGAGGCAGCCUAUAGGGAGGAGGUCAGAGACCUGCCCGUGUGGUGCCAGGGCAACAACCUCUCCCUCAAUGUCAGCA
This 1300-nucleotide long non-coding RNA is filed under the name Salmo salar (Atlantic salmon). RNAcentral's name for it is "lncRNA (ENSSSAG00000112150.1)". The record is from RNAcentral. Lineage: Eukaryota; Metazoa; Chordata; Actinopteri; Salmoniformes; Salmonidae.